GAUCCAUUAGCUAGCACUAUUGCCCCUGGGAUUAAAUCCAGCCUGCUGUGUUUCUGUGUGGAGUUUUUAAUGUUCUCUCUGUGCUCUGUGCAGUUGGGGUUGGGGUUAGGGUCGUGACACAGACAUACUGUGGAAGAGAGCCAGAGAUGAAUAAUAGCUGCUGAUUAAAUGCAGAUGCAGUGUAUAUAACUUGUAUAUGCUAUAGAUAAUAAUGUUAUUUUAAAAUAUCUUCAAGUACCAAAUCAUCUAGCCUGUGACCAUCCUUACCAACUGCGAAUACAAAAAUUCCGAAACAAAUUUCCCUUGCUUAAUGUGUACAGAUGUGGUUUGUGGUGAAUCCAUGUCCCAGUUCCUCUAAAGUCCGGUCUGAACCUGCAGGAUGAGCUUUAGAAAGCCAAGCUUGCAACUAAGGAGAAGUUGUAGGUGCUUCAAAAGAAUUUUUCUGUUUCACUUUACAGGCUGCCGGUCUAACAUAAGGCUGACACACAGAGACUUUGCAACCACACACUGUACAGUAAUUGUUUCUCUAAUGGGGAAUUCACUGGUUAGGACAGGCCCCAUGAAUAAUGUGUUUACUCAUGUAUUUAUAGAUCGUGUUCAGACUCAUAUUAAGCUGGUGUGAGAACGCUUUGUUUUCUGCAUUGCUGUCUCAUUAAAAUGGGCGUAGGAGAGUUCAGUUACAAGAUUUCUAUCUCAACUCUAACGGUGGCGUUUCUGCUCAUUUUCAUCAUCAGGCUUGCUCAAGGACAUUUUCAUUUAUUUUGCACACCUCAUCCAGUCAAGGCUACUUCAGGUGAUGAUGUCAUCCUGCCGCGUCACGUGGAGCCAAAGUUAAAUGUGGCAGGGCUGACGGUGGAGUGGUCGAGGCCUGACCUCCACCCUGACCCCAAAAAUUGCCUGAGCCUAAAUGAAUAUAUUCAUCUUUACCGGCACAAUUGUGAGGUGACUGACAUGAAGCUCCCAUCGUACAUCGGGAGGACUGCGUUGUUCACAGACGGCCUGAGAGAAGGAAACAUCUCACUAAGAAUCACUAAUGUGACACAAGAAGAUGAAGGAAGAUACAGAUGUUUCAUCCCAAAGUUAAAGAGUCAAAGUUUUCAGUUGUUCAUCUUAUUGUUGGUGGUUUGUCUGAUCGCAGCAGCUGGAUCCUACUUGUAGUGUUCUGUGUGUUUAUUCUCCUCUGCGCUGCAGUCCAAGGACGCUGGUUUACUGAGUGAAAGCAUUAAAAAUCAGAAGUCAAAAAACUACUACCACUCUUGGAGCUUUGCUGAAGGGAGGGCGAAAGUUGAUCCCACAUCUGUGUCAUUCAUUUAAGGAUUCCAAGGAUCAGCUCCUCCAGCAGGGAAGGUUUCAUUGUAUGUACGGAAACAGACUGUCACUUACAAAAAGCUGUUUGGAUCUGAAUUCACUCUGAUGAAGGAAUGGUCAGGUGACACCCAACAAAAGGAGUGAUAGACAAUUUCAGUGAUAUGGUGUUUCCUGGCACCUGAUCAGGACAAAGGUCAUUCUGUAUCAACUUUACUUUUGACACCUGUAAGAUAAGAAUAAUAGUGAAGAAGGGGGCAGAAAACAGGUUUCAAAGUGCAAACAGGUGGAGCAGCCUGUGAUGUUUGUGUAAGAUAUUCCAUUCAUGGUAAGCUUUGGUGUUUUUUUCUUUCACAUUUGCAGAGGUCAUUAUUUGUCUGUUGCUAUUUCAUUAAUGGAGUGGCAACAACAUCUACAUAUAUAUCAUAAUCGAGCCUGGGGUUAUCAAGGGGGCACUGAAUUCAAUUCAAUUCAAUUUUAUUUAUUUAGCGACAAAUUAAAAGACAUUAGUUUCAGCAUCACUUUGAGACAGGAUGUUUCUAGUUUUAGAGAUAUUGUCCAAAUGCAAGAAAUACGUAUUCGUUUAAUAUGUGCAUUGAGGUGCAUAUCCUGGUCAAAAAUGACACAGUGAGUCCAUUUAAUCUCAUAUAUAUAAAUCUUAAAGAAAAGAAAAGAAAAGAAAAGAAAAGAAAAGAAAAGAAAAGAAAAC
This is a long non-coding RNA of Oreochromis niloticus (Nile tilapia), 2014 nucleotides long. RefSeq lists it as uncharacterized. The record is from RefSeq and is a predicted model, not a curated record. NCBI's taxonomy places the organism in Eukaryota, Metazoa, Chordata, Actinopteri, Cichliformes, Cichlidae. The transcript is spliced from 4 exons.